RNAcentral lists this ribosomal RNA (395 nucleotides) under uncultured bacterium. RNAcentral's name for it is "partial 16S ribosomal RNA". It matches the Rfam family "Bacterial small subunit ribosomal RNA", at positions 338 to 731 of the family's 1533-position model. The record is from RNAcentral.
CCUACGGGUGGCAGCAGUGAGGAAUAUUGGUCAAUGGUCGGGAGCCUGAACCAGCCAAGUCGCGUGAGGGAGGACGGUACUACGGGUUGUAAACCUCUUUUGUCAGGGAACAAAGUGUGGCACGUGUGCCUGGUUGAGUGUACCUGAAGAAUAAGCAUCGGCUAACUCCGUGCCAGCAGCCGCGGUAAUACGGAGGAUGCGAGCGUUAUCCGGAUUUAUUGGGUUUAAAGGGGGCGCAGGCGGAUUGUUAAGUCAGCGGUAAAAGUUCGGGGCUCAACCCCGGACUGCCAUUGAAACUGGCAGUCUUGAGUACGAGAGAAGUAUGCGGAAUGCGCGGUGUAGCGGUGAAAUGCAUAGAUAUCACGAAGAACUCCGAUUGCGAAGGCAGCAUGCUA